AGCUUUACAUAGCAAUGUUACCCUGCUGUCAGUCUAGAGAGAUACAAAGUGUACCAGGGCAGAGGCUUGGCACAAACCGGGCACGUUUAACCACAGGGCAAGAGAGCCAGACUCGUCUGCAUUCGGGGGUUCAGAGCUUUUAACCUCAUCUCACGACGAGACAGAAUCCGGAACAGCAGAUUGGGGUCUUAAGGCAAGCUUAAAGCAAGCUCACAGUCAAGGGACAAGCAGAAGCACUCCAAAUGAGUGCACACGCCUCAGCAGUCCGCUGAUGCAGCUGCAGGUGUUUGAAAGUGAGUUUAUCACAGGAUCUGAGCGAAUUGCCAUUUUCAACACGCAAGCCACAAAUCUGUAAGCUCAUCAGAGGGGCACCAUGGCACAGACCCAUUCCCAUGAGUCAGAGGGCUGGAUCCUUCCCAAGAAAUGAAAUUCAUUUGUGUUUGGCCGGCCAGCAGCAGCAGAGACAGUUGAUUGGAUGGGACUCCAGGGUUAUUCCUGGAUGAGAAAGAGGCAGUGACAGGAGUGUGUAAUUCGGUCCCUACUGACUCAGAUGUGCCCCUCCCUGCCAACGCCACAGUGCCAUGACUCAAGACCCUCACUGACUCAGCCGCCGGGGGUCAAGCCAUCCCCCUCUCCCCACUCCUCCCUCCUUCUGUCAGGACAAAACUGCACCCUUUCUACCCUGGGCACAUCAGCAGAUGUUCUCUUUCCAUUGUUAUAGAGGUACACUCCUUAUAAAAGACACUGGAAUGGCAAAGUUCAUUUAAGCAGUUGCCGCCACCACACUGUAGAUUCACUCUCCAUGUGCAGCAGGUAUUAGGGACCCCCCCAUCCUGACACCCCCACACUGUAGAUUCACUCUCCCUGUGCAGCAGGUAUUAGGGACCCCCCCAUCCUGACACCCCCACACUGUAGAUUCACUCUCCAUGUGCAGCAGGUAUUAGGGACCCCCCCAUCCUGACACCCCCACACUGUAGAUUCAC
Long non-coding RNA from Acipenser ruthenus (sterlet), 983 nucleotides. RefSeq lists it as uncharacterized. The record is from RefSeq and is a predicted model, not a curated record. NCBI's taxonomy places the organism in Eukaryota, Metazoa, Chordata, Actinopteri, Acipenseriformes, Acipenseridae. The transcript is spliced from 3 exons.